RNAcentral lists this ribosomal RNA (253 nucleotides) under uncultured bacterium. RNAcentral describes it as "partial 16S ribosomal RNA". It matches the Rfam family "Bacterial small subunit ribosomal RNA", at positions 524 to 776 of the family's 1533-position model. The record is from RNAcentral.
UACGUAGGGUGCAAGCGUUGUCCGGAAUUAUUGGGCGUAAAGAGCUCGUAGGCGGUCUGUCGCGUCUGCUGUGAAAACUCGGGGCUUAACCCCGGGCCUGCAGUGGGUACGGGCAGACUAGAGUGCGGUAGGGGAGACUGGAAUUCCUGGUGUAGCGGUGAAAUGCGUAGAUAUCUGGAGGAACACCGGUGGCGAAGGCGGCAUUCUGGACCGAUAUUGACGCUGAGGAGCGAAAGCCAGGGGAGCAAACGGG